Long non-coding RNA from Homo sapiens (human), 613 nucleotides. Ensembl annotates it as long intergenic non-protein coding RNA 971. Lineage: Eukaryota; Metazoa; Chordata; Mammalia; Primates; Hominidae. The record is from Ensembl.
ACUUCAAAAAUGAUUCUUCCAGAAUGCUAAUGUAAAUCUAAUCAGCCUUUAGAAUUUAAAGGCUUAAAAAAGACUAAAGAAAAGUAACAACCAAAUGCAAUAUGUAGAACUUAUAUGGAGCCUGAUUCGAACAUCAAGUAUAAAGAGAUAUUUUUGAGAAAAUUGAGAAAUUUUAAAACAUGAAAUUAGUAUUAUAUGAUAUUGAAGACUGCUGCUUUUUCAAGACAUGUCCUCAAAUUUAUUUUACAUUCCUUCCAUACUAACUCUUCUCCUUGCAUGUAGACAGACUUGUGGCUGCUUUCAAUGACUUCUGAAAUUAGGUCAUUAAAAGUCAUACAUUCUUUGGCUAGUAAUCUUGGGUUACUCACUCAUGAGAGGCCAAGCUUUAUCUAGGAAGUUCAACUACUCGAGACUGUCAUGCUGGCUCCGGCACAAAUGAACCAUGUUCUUCGCCUAAGUCAUUUAUGGAACAUCUGCUUUCGGUUUAGCAUCAGUGUGCUAUUAAUCCAGGUCUUCCAAGAAACAAAUGCCAAGAUGGUAUUAAACAUGAAAUGAUUUUAAUUGUUUACAUGCCUGAAAGUAAAUAAAGAGGGUGCCAGCUAAGGCUGAAAAA